RNAcentral lists this long non-coding RNA (878 nucleotides) under Dromaius novaehollandiae (emu). RNAcentral's name for it is "lncRNA (ENSDNVG00000004211.1)". Lineage: Eukaryota; Metazoa; Chordata; Aves; Casuariiformes; Dromaiidae. The record is from RNAcentral.
UAAUUUUACCUGUCAACAAUCUGCAGCACAGAAGGUUGUUUCUGAAUUUCCUGGCUCUAGAAGUUACGGAGAUACUUAUGAAAAUGUACUUAACUGCCAGUGAGUCAGCAUUCGUCGGUCUGAAACUCAUUUCCAGGAAUUAUGUGAUUUACAAGACUUGACUUCCAAACCUGGCGACUGACAUAGCAAAAGCAAGAAUAAAGAAACUCUCAAAUAUAAACGCCAGACGUCUUUCAAAUGCAAAAUACAGUAAGAAAACAGUCAGUUUCUUGAGACAUAUCUGUAUUUGUCAUUUUAAAUUAGAGAAUAAAUAGUGGAGAAAUAAUCAAUCAUCUCUGUCGUCUUCUUUUUGGAGGCAUGGUUUCUUCACUGAUCUCAAGAUGAAAGGUCACACUGAGCUGGAAAAGGAAACAUUCUUUAAAUUUAACAGUACUAAUGAAGACCAUUYUUGUUCUUUUGGAUUCAUCAAAUGUGGAACGAAUGCUUCAGGUGUAUUACCAGCAUCAUAACAAUGGACAGUAUCUGCUUCUGGCACCUAAGCAGAGUAAAUCCGAGGUUCUUGAUGGCCAUCCUUUCUAAGAACUGUCCAUUCUGCAGUCCCAUAAUGUCCAUAAAAUCCUGACAUUUCUUUUAUGGAGUCAAGACAAACCUUCAAGGCUGCAGAACUUGGCUUAUUGUUGCAGCAAGCCAAGACGAGCAGGUACCAUGUGACUCUGCAAAAUCAGAGGGUCCAGCUGACUUCAGCAGACUCCAUAUGGGCAGCAUUGAUUUGAAUGUGCACCCUGAAUCCUUGAAGGAUUCAGUCCCUCCCAUGCAGAAGAAGGACAAAUUCUGAGGUGAGAACUGCCCAACCAGGGAUCAGCUUUGGAAUGAAACAG